GCCUCCAUAGCUCAGUGGUUAGACAACUGGUUUAGUAAACCAAGGGUCGAGAGUUUAAUUCUCCCUAUAGGCA
This 73-nucleotide transfer RNA is filed under the name Schistosoma margrebowiei. It matches the Rfam family "tRNA". From Rfam's summary of the family: Transfer RNA (tRNA) molecules are approximately 80 nucleotides in length. Lineage: Eukaryota; Metazoa; Platyhelminthes; Trematoda; Strigeidida; Schistosomatidae. The record is from Rfam by way of RNAcentral.